This 236-nucleotide ribosomal RNA is filed under the name uncultured bacterium. Its description in RNAcentral is "partial 16S ribosomal RNA". It matches the Rfam family "Bacterial small subunit ribosomal RNA", at positions 118 to 347 of the family's 1533-position model. The record is from RNAcentral.
UGGGUGAUCAGCCCUGCACUUCGGGAUAAGCCUGGGAAACUGGGUCUAAUACCGGAUAUGAUCAUGCGCCUCCUGGUGUGUGGUGGAAAGCUUUUGCGGUGUGGGAUGGGGCCCCGCGGCCUAUCAGCUUGUUGGUGGGGUAAUGGCCUACCAAGGCGUCGACGGGUAGCCGGCCUGAGAGGGUGUCCCGGCCACACGUGGGACUGAGACACGGUCCAGACCUCCGUACGGGNGCA